RNAcentral lists this ribosomal RNA (468 nucleotides) under uncultured bacterium. Its description in RNAcentral is "partial 16S ribosomal RNA". It matches the Rfam family "Bacterial small subunit ribosomal RNA", at positions 28 to 507 of the family's 1533-position model. The record is from RNAcentral.
GACGAACGCUGGCGGCGUGCUUAGCACAUGCAAGUCGAACGGAAAGGCCCUGCUUUUGUGGGGUGCUCGAGUGGCGAACGGGUGAGUAACACGUGAGUAACCUGCCCUUGACUUUGGGAUAACUUCAGGAAACUGGGGCUAAUACCGGAUAGGAGCUCCUGCUGCAUGGGGGGGGUUGGAAAGUUUCGGCGGUUGGGGAUGGACUCGCGGCUUAUCAGCUUGUUGGUGGGGUAGUGGCUUACCAAGGCUUUGACGGGUAGCCGGCCUUGGAGGGUGGCCGGCCACAUGGGGCCUGCGAUACGGCGCAGACUCCUACGGGAGGCAGUAGGGGGGAAUAUUGCACAAUGGGCGGAAGCCUGAUGCAGCAAUCCCGCGUGCGGGAUGACGGCUUUCGGGUUGUAAACCGCUUUCGCCGGUGCCGAAGCGUGAGUGACGGUAAUGGGUAAAGAAGCACCGGCUAACUACGUG